This 661-nucleotide ribosomal RNA is filed under the name uncultured bacterium. RNAcentral describes it as "bacterial SSU rRNA". It matches the Rfam family "Bacterial small subunit ribosomal RNA", at positions 505 to 1156 of the family's 1533-position model. The record is from RNAcentral.
GUCUCAGCCGCCGCGGUAAUACGAAGGGCCCAAGCGUUGCGCAGAAUCACUGGGCUUAAAGGGUGCGUAGGCGGGCCCGCAAGUACGACGGUGAAAUCCCACGGCUUAACCGUGGAAUGGCCGGGUAUACUGCGGGCCUUGAGCUCGGCAGGGGCCGUCGGAACUCUAGGUGGAGCGGUGAAAUGCGUAGAUAUCUAGAGGAACGCCAAAGGUGAAGACAGACGGCUGGGCCGAUGCUGACGCUCAGGCACGAAAGCGUGGGGAGCGAACGGGAUUAGAUACCCCGGUAGUCCACGCUGUAAACGAUGUGCACUAGAUCGAGGGGGUUUUGACGCCUUCUCGGUCGUAGCAAAAGUAUUAAGUGCACCGCCUGGGGAGUACGGUCGCAAGGCUAAAACUCAAAGGAAUUGACGGGGGCUCACACAAGCGGUGGAGCAUGUGGCUCAAUUCGAGGCAACGCGAAGAACCUUAUCCAGGGUUUGACAUGCACGGAUUAAGUCGCCGAAAGGUGACCAACGCCCUCUGGGUGGAACGUGCACAGGUGCUGCAUGGCUGUCGUCAGCUCGUGCUGUGAAGUGUCGGGUUAAGUCCCUUAACGAGCGAAACCCCUGCCGCUAGUUGCCAUCGGGUCAUGNCGGGGACUCUAGCGGGNACUGCCGGU